GUGCCAGCAGCCGCGGUAAUACGGAGGGUGCGAGCGUUGUUCGGAAUCACUGGGCGUAAAGGGCGUGUAGGCGGUCUGCUAAGUCUGAUGUGAAAGCCCGGGGCUCACCCCCGGAAGGGCAUUGGAAACUGGCGGACUCGAGUCCCGGAGAGGAGAGUGGAAUUCCUGGUGUAGCGGUGAAAUGCGUAGAUAUCAGGAGGAACACCGGUGGCGAAGGCGGCUCUCUGGACGGUGACUGACGCUGAGACGCGAAAGCGUGGGGAGCAAACAGGAUUAGAUACCCUCGUAGUCC
This 292-nucleotide ribosomal RNA is filed under the name uncultured bacterium. RNAcentral describes it as "partial 16S ribosomal RNA". It matches the Rfam family "Bacterial small subunit ribosomal RNA", at positions 505 to 796 of the family's 1533-position model. The record is from RNAcentral.